Molecule: ribosomal RNA, 459 nt
Filed under: uncultured bacterium
Lineage: Bacteria
Description: bacterial SSU rRNA
Rfam family: Bacterial small subunit ribosomal RNA
Source: RNAcentral
CGCGUUCGCUGCAUCGAGGCUUGACACAAGUGGGGAAACCCUGAUGCAGCCAUGCCGCGUGUGUGAAGAAGGCCUUCGGGUUGUAAAGCACUUUCAGUAGGGAGGAAGGUAGUGUAGUUAACACCUGCACUAUUUGACGUUACCUACAGAAGAAGCACCGGCUAACUCCGUGCCAGCAGCCGCGGUAAUACGGAGGGUGCGAGCGUUAAUCGGAAUUACUGGGCGUAAAGCGCAUGCAGGCGGCCUGUUAAGUCAGAUGUGAAAGCCCGGGGCUUAACCUCGGAAUUGCAUUUGAAACUGGCAGGCUAGAGUCUUGUAGAGGGGGGUAGGAAUUUCAGGUGUAGCGGUGAAAUGCGUAGAGAUCUGAAGGAAUACCAGUGGCGAAGGCGGCCCCCUGGACAAAGACUGACGCUCAGAUGCGAAAGCGUGGGGAGCAAACAGGAUUAGAUACCCUGGUAG